Molecule: ribosomal RNA, 327 nt
Filed under: uncultured bacterium
Lineage: Bacteria
Description: bacterial SSU rRNA
Rfam family: Bacterial small subunit ribosomal RNA
Source: RNAcentral
GAUGAACGCUGGCGGCGUGCUUAACACAUGCAAGUCGAACGAAGAAGGUUAGAAUGAGAGCUUCGGCAGGAUUUCUUUCCAUCUUAGUGGCGGACGGGUGAGUAACGUGUGGGCAACCUGCCCUGUACUGGGGAAUAAUCAUUGGAAACGAUGACUAAUACCGCAUGUGGUCCUCGGAAGGCAUCUUCUGAGGAAGAAAGGAUUUAUUCGGUACAGGAUGGGCCCGCAUCUGAUUAGCUAGUUGGUGAGAUAACAGCCCACCAAGGCGACGAUCAGUAGCCGACCUGAGAGGGUGGACGGCCACAAGGGGACUGAGAUACGGCCCUU